UACAGAGGUCUCAAGCGUUGUUCGGAUUCAUUGGGCGUAAAGGGUGUGUAGGUGGCGCCGUAAGUCGGGUGUGAAAUUUCGGAGCUUAACUCCGAAACUGCAUUCGAUACUGCGGUGCUUGAGGACUGGAGAGGAGACUGGAAUUCAUGGUGUAGCAGUGAAAUGCGUAGAGAUCAUGAGGAAGACCAGUGGCGAAGGCGGGCCUCUGGACAGUUCCUGACACUGAGACACGAAAGCGUGGGGAGCAAACAGG
Molecule: ribosomal RNA, 253 nt
Filed under: uncultured bacterium
Lineage: Bacteria
Description: partial 16S ribosomal RNA
Rfam family: Bacterial small subunit ribosomal RNA
Source: RNAcentral